CCCUUAGUUGUCCUGGGCCGCACGCGCGCUACACUGAGUGUCUGAGAUACGAGUCUGCCUGGUCCGGCAAGGUCUAGGUAAUCGCUAAAAGACACAUCAUGCUUGGGAUAGAUUAUUGCAAAUAUUAAUCUUGAACGAGGAAUUCCUAGUAAGCGCAAGUCAACAGCUUGCGUUGAUUACGUCCCUGCCCUUUGUACACACCGCCCGUCGCUACUACUGAUUGGAUGUUUAAGCGAGGUUCUCGAACUGCUAGCGACUUAGCUUCGGUGAGGUCGCAGUGUGGGAAGUGAACCUAGCUUUGGUGUCUAGAGGAAGUAAAAGUCGUAACA
RNAcentral lists this ribosomal RNA (329 nucleotides) under uncultured eukaryote. RNAcentral describes it as "partial 18S ribosomal RNA". It matches the Rfam family "Eukaryotic small subunit ribosomal RNA", at positions 1470 to 1796 of the family's 1831-position model. The record is from RNAcentral.